CUAUUGGUGGCUCAGUGGUAGAAUUCUCACCUUCUGUGCGGGAGACCCAGGUUCAAUUCCUGACCAAGACA
This 71-nucleotide transfer RNA is filed under the name Loxodonta africana (African savanna elephant). It matches the Rfam family "tRNA". Rfam says of the family: Transfer RNA (tRNA) molecules are approximately 80 nucleotides in length. Their secondary structure includes four short double-helical elements and three loops (D, anti-codon, and T loops). Lineage: Eukaryota; Metazoa; Chordata; Mammalia; Proboscidea; Elephantidae. The record is from Rfam by way of RNAcentral.